UAUUCUUUUUCAUGUCUAUGAAAGGUUUGUUAUGACUUAUAAACUAUGUUCGAAGAUUUCAGGCUGAAUUGAGAAAACCACUCUUUUAUAUUAGAUAAAUGGCAUUGAUUCAAUCAUCCACUCAGCCAACACUUUAUCCAAUCCUUUUUCUCUUCUCAUUAUAGUGCCAGGUUCCCUACUUUGGUGGGCUAGGAAUGUGAUGUUAGGUUCAGUCUUGGGAGCGGCAUUUUUUUUCCCUCUUGAGUUUGGAGAGCGAGAAGAGGACCCCAUCAUCAUCUAGCAUGGGGCUUUUUGGAUUGACAUAAGGUGGCAACCAUCAGAAACCAUCUUCCUAGCAGAUUGGUGGUUCAUUCUACAUCAGAUUGAAUGCUUCUUCUUGAAAGUGUUAUGUAGCUUGGUAUGCUCACAUUCCUGGGUUGAAAGUUCUGACUCCAUACUCAUCAAAAGACGCUCAGGGCCUUUUAAAAGCAGCUAUUAGAGAUCUUGAUCUUGUAGUUUUUCUUGAAAAUGAGUUGCUGUAAGUAGCUUUUCGAACGUGGAACUAUUUUUGUCAUGUGAAACUUGAAGUAUUUAUUUGAUUAGCAUUGAUUUUGGGAUGCUCCAAAUAUGGAGAGUCUUUUCCUGUUUCAGCGGAAGUUCUUGAUUCCAGUUUCUGCCUUCCAAUAGGAAAAGCUAAGGUAUGAUUUUUUGGAGUGCAUCACACGUUAUCUGCAAAUUUAAUAUUUUUCUUCAAGUUCCUCAUCUCAUGCCCUCCAUUAACAUAUAGAACAAGGAAAAGAUGUGACCAUUACAACUUUUUCAAAGAUGGUGGGUUAUGCCCUCUAGGUGCGUGUGCUCUUUCUUUUAAGCUGUGGUGCCAAUGACCAGUAUGUGAUCAAUAGGUUUAUUCACAAGUUGCUUGUGUAUGUUGCACUCUUUUUGGAAUUUGGUUGGUGCUUAUCCUCGUUGAACUAUAAUAAGCUUUAGGCAGGGCAAAACUAGGUUAUUUAGUGAGGGUUGCAAGCCUAGCC
Long non-coding RNA from Magnolia sinica, 1010 nucleotides. RefSeq lists it as uncharacterized. The record is from RefSeq and is a predicted model, not a curated record. NCBI's taxonomy places the organism in Eukaryota, Viridiplantae, Streptophyta, Magnoliopsida, Magnoliales, Magnoliaceae. The transcript has 3 exons.